Molecule: ribosomal RNA, 497 nt
Filed under: uncultured bacterium
Lineage: Bacteria
Description: partial 16S ribosomal RNA
Rfam family: Bacterial small subunit ribosomal RNA
Source: RNAcentral
GAUGAACGCUGGCGGCGUGCCUAAUACAUGCAAGUCGAGCGAACAGAUGAGGAGCUUGCUCCUCUGACGUUAGCGGCGGACGGGUGAGUAACACGUGGAUAACCUACCUAUAAGACUGGGAUAACUUCGGGAAACCGGAGCUAAUACCGGAUAAUAUAUUGAACCGCAUGGUUCAAUAGUGAAAGACGGUUUUGCUGUCACUUAUAGAUGGAUCCGCGCCGCAUUAGCUAGUUGGUAAGGUAACGGCUUACCAAGGCAACGAUGCGUAGCCGACCUGAGAGGGUGAUCGGCCCCACUGGAACUGAGACACGGUCCAGACUCCUACGGGAGGCAGCAGUAGGGAAUCUUCCGCAAUGGGCGAAAGCCUGACGGAGCAACGCCGCGUGAGUGAUGAAGGUCUUCGGAUCGUAAAACUCUGUUAUUAGGGAAGAACAAAUGUGUAAGUAACUAUGCACGUCUUGACGGUACCUAAUCAGAAAGCCACGGCUAACUACGUG